GGGGCUAUAGCUCAGCUGGGAGAGCGCCUCGCUGGCAGCGAGGAGGUCUGCGGUUCGAACCCGCAUAGCUCCACCA
This 76-nucleotide transfer RNA is filed under the name Vibrio cyclitrophicus. Its description in RNAcentral is "tRNA-Ala". It matches the Rfam family "tRNA". Rfam says of the family: Transfer RNA (tRNA) molecules are approximately 80 nucleotides in length. Their secondary structure includes four short double-helical elements and three loops (D, anti-codon, and T loops). Lineage: Bacteria; Pseudomonadati; Pseudomonadota; Gammaproteobacteria; Vibrionales; Vibrionaceae. RNAcentral also lists the same sequence under 4 other names. The record is from RNAcentral.